GAUGAACGUUGGCGGUGUGCCUAAUACAUGCAAGUCGAACGGAGUUAAUAGCAAUAUUGGCUCAGUGGCGAACGGGUGAGUAACGCGUUGGUGAUCUGCCUUGAAGUGUGGAAUAACGUUUCGAAAGGAACGCUAAUACCGCAUGUGCUCUCGAUUUUCAGAAAGUUGAGAGUAAAGGAUUUAUUCGCUUCAAGAGGAGCCUGCGUCCCAUCAGCUGGUUGGUAGGGUAACGGCCUACCAAGGCUAUGACGGGUAGGGGACCUGAGAGGGUGGCCCCCCAAAUGGAACUGAAACACGGUCCAUACACCUACGGGUGGCAGCAGUAGGGAAUAUUAGAAAUGGACGAAAGUCUGAUCUAGCAACACCGCGUGUGCGAAGAAGGCCUUGGGUCGUAAAGCACUUUUUGGAAGGAAUAGGAAGGAAUGUACUUCCAGAAUAAGUCUCGGCUAACUACGUG
This 457-nucleotide ribosomal RNA is filed under the name uncultured bacterium. RNAcentral's name for it is "bacterial SSU rRNA". It matches the Rfam family "Bacterial small subunit ribosomal RNA", at positions 28 to 507 of the family's 1533-position model. The record is from RNAcentral.